Molecule: ribosomal RNA, 279 nt
Filed under: uncultured bacterium
Lineage: Bacteria
Description: partial 16S ribosomal RNA
Rfam family: Bacterial small subunit ribosomal RNA
Source: RNAcentral
UGCCAGCCGCCGCGGUAAUACGGAGGAUACGAGCGUUAUCCGGAUUUAUUGGGUUUAAAGGGUGCGUAGGUGGCGAAUUAAGUCAGUGGUGAAAAGCUGCAGCUCAACUGUAGUCUUGCCGUUGAAACUGGUUUGCUUGAGAGGAGACGAGGUAUGUGGAAUGUGUGGUGUAGCGGUGAAAUGCAUAGAUAUCACACAGAACGCCGAUUGCGAAGGCAGCGUACCAGGCUCUAUCUGACACUGAAGCACGAAAGCGUGGGUAUCAAACAGGAUUAGAUA